GAUGAACGCUAGCUACAGGCUUAACACAUGCAAGUCGAGGGGCAGCAUGGUCUUAGCUUGCUAAGGCCGAUUGCGACCGGCGCACGGGUGAGUAAAGCGUAUCCAACCUGCCUUCUAGUCUUGGACAGCCUUCUGAAGGGAAGAUUAGUACAAGAUGGCAUCAUGAGUUCACAUGUUGACAUGAUUAAGGGUAUUCCGGUAGACGAUGGGGAUGCGUUCCAUUAGGUAGUAGGCGGGGUAACGGCUCACCUAGUCUUCGGUGGAUAGGGGUUCUGAGAGGAACGUCCCUCACAGUGGAACUGAGCCACGGUCCAAACUCCUACGGGAGGCAGCAGUGAGGAAUACUGGUCAAUGGGAGAGAGCAUGAACCAGCCAAGUAGCGUGAAGCAUGACUGCCCUAGGGGUUGUAAACUUCUUUUAGAAAGGAAUAAAGUCGGGUAUGUAUACCCGUCUGCAUGUACUUGAUGAAUAAGGAUCGGCUAACUCCGUG
RNAcentral lists this ribosomal RNA (490 nucleotides) under uncultured bacterium. Its description in RNAcentral is "partial 16S ribosomal RNA". It matches the Rfam family "Bacterial small subunit ribosomal RNA", at positions 28 to 507 of the family's 1533-position model. The record is from RNAcentral.